This is an RNA transcript of Mustela erminea (ermine), 4202 nucleotides long. It is a transcript of the gene named solute carrier family 17 member 2, with no coding region annotated. Lineage: Eukaryota; Metazoa; Chordata; Mammalia; Carnivora; Mustelidae. The record is from RefSeq and is a predicted model, not a curated record. The transcript is spliced from 15 exons.
UUAAGCAGCAGAGUCAAACCCAGGCACCCUGCUCUGAGGAUGCAGGGCCAGACCUGAUGCUGUCGCACUGCCACGUGGCUCAGUAUUUAUCCUUGUGAAACUCUGGAAUAAUCGGAAAGGGAGGAAAAGAUAGAAACUUCUUCAGGGAGCCUUAUAGUCUAGGGCUUAAAAUACUGGUUUAAUGGUGAAGUGAAUUGACAGCAUGACAUAAAUGACCUACUGGAGUAACGAGUUUUAUCUCAGCACUACUCAUCUUUCAAAAAGAUAAAACACAGUCGUGGUGAAAGAGAUUCAAGACAAAGGGAAGUCCACAGACUGCGCCACCGCUUCCCAAAGGAACCAAAUGGACAAGAAGACUUCCAGCCGGAAAGGUCCAGAGUUCUGUUCGUUACGCUAUGGACUGGCUCUCAUCAUGCACUUCUCAAACUUCACGAUGAUAACCCAGCGUGUGAGUCUGAGCAUUGCAAUCAUUGCCAUGGUGAACAGCACUCAACAGCAUGGUCUGUCCAAUGCCUCCACAGAAGGACCUCUUGUGGACACUCUCAACAACCCCAGCAGAUCCAUGAAGGAAUUUAAUACAGGAGCCUCUGUGUAUGAAUGGAGCCCAGAGACUCAGGGUAUCAUCUUUAGCUCCAUCAGCUAUGGGAUAAUAGUGACUCUGAUCCCAAGUGGCUAUUUAGCAGGGAUCCUGGGAGCGAAACAGAUGCUCGGUGCUGGGCUGCUGAUCUCCUCCCUUCUCACCCUCUUUACGCCAUUGGCUGCUGACUUCGGAGUGAUUUUGGUUAUCGUGACUCGGACAAUCCAGGGCAUGGCCCAGGGAAUGGCAUGGACAGGUCAGUUUACAAUUUGGGCCAAGUGGGCUCCCCCACUUGAACGAAGUAAGCUCACCAGCAUUGCAGGCUCAGGGGCAGCAUUUGGGUCCUUCAUCAUCCUUUGCGUUGGGGGACUAAUCUCACAGGCCUUGGGCUGGCCUUUUAUCUUCUACAUCUUUGGUAGCAUUGGCUGUGUCUGCUGUCUCCUGUGGUUCACGGUGAUUUAUGAUGACCCCAUGCACCACCCAUGCAUAAGUGUCCAGGAAAAGGACUACAUCGUCGCCUCACUGGCUCAACAGUCCAGUUCUCCCAGACGAUCUGUCCCCAUAAAGGCUAUGGUCAGAUGCCUACCACUUUGGGCCAUUUUCACGGGGUUUUUCAGCCAUUUCUGGUUAUGCACCAUCAUCAUAACAUACCUGCCGACCUACAUCAGCUCUGUGCUCCACGUGAACAUCAGAGACAGUGGGGUUCUGUCCUCCCUGCCUUUCAUCGCUGCUUCAAGCUGUACGAUUCUAGGAGGCCAGUUGGCAGAUUUCCUUCUGUCCAGGAAACUUCUCAGAUUAAUCACUGUGCGAAAACUCUUUUCAUCCCUAGGGCUCCUCCUUCCAUCGCUAUGUGCCGUGGCCUUGCCCUUUGUGGCUUCCAGUUAUGUGACCACCAUUAUUUUGCUGAUACUCAUUCCUGGGACCAGCAACCUGUGUGAUUCAGGGUUCAUCAUCAACACCUUAGAUGUCGCCCCUAGGUAUGCAAGCUUCCUCAUGGGAAUCUCAAGGGGAUUUGGUCUCAUCGCGGGAAUUAUCUCCUCCACUGCCACUGGAUUCCUCAUCAGUCAGGAUUCUGUGUCUGGGUGGAGGAAUGUCUUCUUCCUGUCUGCUGCCGUCAACAUGUUUGGCAUGUUUUUUUACAUCACAUUUGGACAAGUAGAAAUCCAGGACUGGGCCAGAGAGAAGACCCUCACCCGCCUCUGAGGAUAUUGACCCGCAAACCAGAAUGCAGUGCUGACCACUAACUUUAGUGACAUUUUUUACGAAUCGUCAUUCUUCAUAUUCUUGGCCAUAGGCUCAGCGGUUCUCAACUCUGGCUGCGUGCUGGAUCCCCCUGGGGAGUGUCUAAACCACAUGGAGGACGGGGCCGCCCGCCAAGACUCCGAAUGAACUGGUCUGUGGGAGAGCCUAGGGGGCCCCAGGUCCUCAGACAUGCGCGGGCUUUCUAGCAUGCAGCCAGGGUCGACAGCUGCUGGACACACUGGAAACGUCAAUUCCUGUUGACUUUGAAGUCUCCUCUUUGGAAAGUACUGGCUGAAUAAAAUAUCUAUGUGAAAAUAAUCACGGAUAAGUCCCUUCAUAGGGGUGAUUAUGGACACAGAGAAGACCUGCUGGGAGCUGUAGUCAUACAGUAUAGAGCUCAGAAUGGAACAGAAAUUUAAGGCUGUAAUCCAUGGGAUUAACUUUUUUAUUAUUUGUAUGCAAUGUGUGAAACAUGGAUGUUUAUUUAUGUGGCUCAAUUCUAUUAAAAUUCACAUGCUAAAAUUAAAUAGACCAUUUUCAAAUUAUUUAGAUCAGGAUUAUUUCCAUCAGGCGAAACAGAUACCUACUUAUCCUUAGCUAGGUUCCGGGGAUCAAUGACUGGGAAAUGACCAGGCAGAGAUUAAACGGAUGAGGUUAACUAGAAAUCAAAGGAGAGAAAAGACAGAAUUGAAAGGCUCAAGGGGAGGCAAGAUGGGCACUUCCAGAAGGUACAUGGAGAUAGUUUGGACCAUGUCAUGAAAAUUGAAGGGAGACAACAGAGGCGCUUUCAAAUGAAAUCAUGAUUUAUAAGGAGAAGAAUACUGAAGGUAUGACAAGAUGGAAGAAACUGUACAAUGACUCACAUACCAGAAAGUUCCUUUUUCAAGAUUGAAAAAGAUUGUUUGACUUUCUUUCUAAUUUCCCAGGACUCAAAUAGUCAUCAUUGUCUCCAGCAGGAAAUAAUUGGGGUUCCUACCUCUUAAGACGCAUCCUCCAGGCUGUGAGAGCUAGUUCAUACACAGAGCUGACGCCAGUUUUGCUGCAACUGUUCUAGAAGAGAAAUUCCUGCCAUCUCUAAAAGCCCCACAGAACCACAGGAAUGGAAAUUUGGGCUAACCUAGCACAUGAAGAGAACCUCCUGACACAAAUCAACAGGUCUGAUCAAUGGAGCAGGCAGGAAGGAGCCACUUUGAUGUUCUUCCUGGCUGUCCCUUUCCUCCUCUUCCAUGGAACCAUCCAGCACCAGAGCAGAAGGAAAGGCAGCUGGAGAAUUGAUGCUGUCAGCUUUUGGAUCACAGUCUAAGUUGCCAAACAGCAACAGGAAUGAGCUCAGGCUUCCCACGCGAGUCCCUGGAAGCAUCUAUUGCCUCGGAGGUAAUAACUCAUGGAGUAAAACAAGCAUCUGUCGACUCCUGCCAUAUAUGCCUGAGGAAACUGGCCUCUGAGACACCUGGACAUCUCACCCAAGUUCAGUCUCCUUGGUUUCAUUACUAUUCUCUGAAUUUGUGCUCUGCACUUGUGGCAGUUAAUGUAUUAGUGUUGCAUUCUGUCCUUUCCAUACCAGGAUUACAUUCUGUUAAGUAUUAUAAUCGUCACUGUGAUUUGGAUGUAAUUUAAUUCCCCUAGGGCGAGGCAGGCCAGGUGCCCAAGGAGCGGCAUUUAAGGCGACAGUCUUUCUGAGGCUUGAGCAAGCACAGAAUUGGUCCAGGACAGUGAGCACCCCUUCAUUGUCAUACCCUGGGCACUUCUCAUGUUUUCCUUAGCCUAGUUCUGGCCACUGACUUUUUUCCUAUGACCACCCUCCUCCCCCUUCUUCUUCUCAAAAUAGUUCAAUAGAGAUUAUUUUGGAAAAGUACUUGGAUAAUCCCCUGAGUCCCAGAAUAGCAGAGUUUCUUUCUUAAUAUGCCACACUAUCAUUAUGGAGCUCAAUACAGUAAAAUAUUACAUUAGCCAGGAAAAAUUUCAUUUCACAAAACUUUCUGAUCCGUAUUGACUUCUUGCGAGUCUCUUCUGGUAGCUAAUACAAUAAGGAAGUCUGGCCAGACAACUAAUUUUUGUAGGACAGGUGUAUGUAGGUAGGUGUGAUAGGGUUCACUCUUUUCCCUGAAAUGCCAUACUUUCACCAAGAUGUCCAAGGUGUGAAUCACUUUCAAUUUGAUGUUGCCUUGAAUAUCAUGAGUAAUUUGCUUUUGGGUUACUUGUCUUGGAAUUUCCUUCAAUUUUUAAAAAAAUUAAUGAUUCUUCUCUAUUUGUUAAGAAUCCCUCAUCUAUUUAUCCGUAUCCUAAAACCUUGUUAUCUAUAUUCCAGUUUCCGCUGAUGUCAACCUUGGAUCUUUUACUUUGUCUUCUCCAUGCUGGAAUCACACUGACGCAUUUCCCAAGC